Non-coding RNA from Triticum aestivum (bread wheat), 115 nucleotides. Lineage: Eukaryota; Viridiplantae; Streptophyta; Magnoliopsida; Poales; Poaceae. The record is from Rfam.
UAAGUACUCCCUCCGUUCGGAAUUACUCGUCCAAAAAAUGAAUGUAUCUAGAUGUAUUUUAGUUGUAGAUACAUCCAUUUUUGUGACAAGUAAUUCUGAACCGAGGGAGUAUCAG